RNAcentral lists this ribosomal RNA (461 nucleotides) under uncultured bacterium. RNAcentral's name for it is "partial 16S ribosomal RNA". It matches the Rfam family "Bacterial small subunit ribosomal RNA", at positions 28 to 523 of the family's 1533-position model. The record is from RNAcentral.
GAUGAACGCUGGCGGCGUGCCUAAUACAUGCAAGUCGAGCGGCAGCACGGUCUUCGGACUGGUGGCGAGCGGCGGACGGCUGAGUAACGCGUAGGAACAUGCCCUAAAGUGAGGAAUAACUGCCCGAAAGGGUGGCUAAUGCCGCAUGUGCUCUUCGGAGUAAAGCUUUAUGCGCUUUAGGAGUGGCCUGCGUCCGAUUAGCUAGUUGGUGAGGUAAAUGCUCACCAAGGCGACGAUCGGUAGCUGGUCUGAGAGGAUGAUCAGCCAGACUGGAACUGAGAACGGUCCAGACUCCUACGGGAGGCAGCAGUGGGGAAUCUUGCGCAAUGGGGGCAACCCUGACGCAGCCAUACCGCGUGUGCGAUGAAGGUCUUCGGAUUGUAAAGCACUUUCAGCAGGGACGACGAUGACGGUACCUGCAGAAGAAGUCACGGCUAACUUCGUGCCAGCAGCCGCGGUAA